Molecule: long non-coding RNA, 272 nt
Filed under: Olea europaea subsp. europaea
Lineage: Eukaryota; Viridiplantae; Streptophyta; Magnoliopsida; Lamiales; Oleaceae
Source: RNAcentral
CUUUUGAAACUUUGAAAACUUGGAUUGAAAACUUCGAUGAAACUUGGACGUUGAAAGAAAUGCACUCCUUGGAUGUUUGAAAACCGUUGAGAAUUGAUGCUUGAAAACACUUUUUAAACUUCUAGGAAAAAUAGUUUUCCUCCCUCUCUUUUUCUCUCUUGGAAACUCUUUCUUUAGUAUGUAAAAGCUCUUGCUUUUGGUGUGAGAAAAAAAUGAGUGAAAUGAGGUCUCUAUUUAUAGGUAAAUAUCCCAUAACUUAAAGCAAAUGAAGG